This 500-nucleotide unclassified non-coding RNA is filed under the name Anelosimus elegans. RNAcentral describes it as "partial contains 16S ribosomal RNA and tRNA-Leu (trnL)". The stretch from base 104 to 403 matches the Rfam family "Bacterial large subunit ribosomal RNA", at positions 2074 to 2646 of the family's 2925-position model. Lineage: Eukaryota; Metazoa; Arthropoda; Arachnida; Araneae; Theridiidae. The record is from RNAcentral.
AUUGUUUUUUAAUAAAAACUAGAAUGAAAGGUUAUACAUUCAAAUUUCUUUAUUAAUUUUUAAUAAAUAAUUUAUAUUAAAUAUAAAAAUAUAUUUAUAAAAAAAAAAGACGACAAGACCCUAUUAAAUUUUACUUAUAGUUUAGCUGGGGAAGCUUUUCAAUUAAAAUUUUUUAAAUUAAAUAAAUAAAAAUCUAAUAAAAUUAAAAUUUUAAUAAAUUACUAUAGGGAUAACAGCAUUAUAUUUUUUUAAAGUUCAUAUUAAAAAAAAUGAUUGUGACCUCGAUGUUGAAUUAUAUUUUCUAUAUUUAAUGCAAUAAUUAUAAAAGUAGAUCUGUUCGAUCUUUAAAAUAUUACAUGAUUUGAGUUCAAACCGGUGUAAACCAGGUUGGUUUUUAUCUUUUUAUAUAUUUUUCUAGUACGAAAGGACAAAAAAAUUUUUAUUUUAAUAAAUUAGCAAAUAAAUGCAUUAGAUUUAGAAUCUAAUUAUAUUUAAUAAUU